Molecule: ribosomal RNA, 460 nt
Filed under: uncultured bacterium
Lineage: Bacteria
Description: partial 16S ribosomal RNA
Rfam family: Bacterial small subunit ribosomal RNA
Source: RNAcentral
CCUACGGGAGGCAGCAGUGAGGAAUAUUGGUCAAUGGGCGCGAGCCUGAACCAGCCACGUAGCGUGAAGGAUGACUGCCCUACGGGUUGUAAACUUCUUUUAUAAAGGAAUAAAGUGAUGCACGUGUGCCUUUUUGUAUGUACUUUAUGAAUAAGGAUCGGCUAACUCCGUGCCAGCAGCCGCGGUAAUACGGAGGAUCCGAGCGUUAUCCGGAUUUAUUGGGUUUAAAGGGAGCGUAGAUGGGUUGUUAAGUCAGUUGUGAAAGUUUGUGGCUCAACCGUAAAAUUGCAAUUGAUACUGGCAGUCUUGAGUACAGUUGAGGUAGGCGGAAUUCGUGGUGUAGCGGUGAAAUGCUUAGAUAUCACGAAGAACUCCGAUUGCGAAGGCAGCCUACUAAACUGCCACUGACAUUGAUGCUCGAAAGUGUGGGUAUCAAACAGGAUUAGAUACCCCAGUAGUC